CGGAAGGGGCAAGCGUUGUUCGGAAUCAUUGGGCGUAAAGGGCGCGUAGGUGGUUCUGUAUGUCUACCGUGAAAGCGUACGGCUCAACCGUAUUUUGUCGGUAGAAACUGCAGGACUUGAGGCUGGGAGGGGCUGGUGGAAUUCCCUGUGUAGCGGUGAAAUGCGUAGAGAUGGGGGAGAACACUCGUGGCGAAGGCGGCCAGCUAGACCAGUUCUGACACUGAGGCGCGACAGCGUGGGGAGCAAACAGGAUUAGAUACCCUGGUAGUCCACGCUGUAAACGAUGGGCACUAGGUGCCGGCGGUCUUGAUCCCGUCGGUGCCGGCGCUAACGCAGUAAGUGCCCCGCCUGGGGAGUACGGUCGCAAGGCUG
Molecule: ribosomal RNA, 372 nt
Filed under: uncultured organism
Description: bacterial SSU rRNA
Rfam family: Bacterial small subunit ribosomal RNA
Source: RNAcentral